UCAGACGAUGCGUCAUGCAUAUCAAUAAGCGGAGGAAAAGAAAAUAACAAUGAUUUCCCUAGUAACGGCGAGGUGAACAGGAAAGAGCUCAAAGUUGGAACCUGCCUGACUUAGUUAAGCCGGAUUGUAAACUGUAGAAACGUUUUCUAGGCAAGCCGAGUUAAAAAGUCCUUUGGAACAGGGCAUCAUAGAGGGUGAGAAUCCCGUCUUUGACUCGAGUAUUUUGUCUUUUUAUGAUACGUUUUCCAAGAGUCAGGUUGUUUGGGAAUGCAGCCUAAAUUGGGUGGUAAAUCUCACCUAAAGCUAAAUAUUUGCGAGAGACCGAUAGCGAACAAGUACCGUGAGGGAAAGAUGAAAAGAACUUUGAAAAGAGAGUUAAACAGUACGUGAAAUUGUCAAAAGGGAAGCGUUUGACACCAGUGUUGUUUUCUCGAAAAUCAAUUAAAAAGAGUUAGAUUUUGUUGUGUAUUGACCUUAACAGCUUGCAUUUCAAUUUUCUUGCUUUUUUUAAUGCACUUUUCGUUUAACAAGUCAACAUCAGUUUCUUUUGUUGUAAAAAGGUCAUUGGAAGGUGGCUUUCUUUUCGGAGAAAGUGUUUAUAGCCUUUGACUCCUGCAAUCGAGAGAGACUGAGGUCUGCAGCGUAGAUCCUUCGGGGUUAGAUACAUUUGUGCUAAGUUAUAGCUUUUUAUAGACAACUUGUUGACUAUGAUUAGUCUUGUAGCUUACUCGCUUAUGCUAUUUUACCUACGCUUAGGAUGUUGAGUCGUAGAGCACGCAG
RNAcentral lists this ribosomal RNA (780 nucleotides) under uncultured Neocallimastigales. RNAcentral describes it as "partial large subunit ribosomal RNA". It matches the Rfam family "Eukaryotic large subunit ribosomal RNA", at positions 18 to 622 of the family's 3401-position model. Lineage: Eukaryota; Fungi; Neocallimastigomycota; Neocallimastigomycetes; Neocallimastigales. The record is from RNAcentral.